CNANNGUUNNCNNGNCUNNGAUGACGCUGGCGGCGUGCCUAACACAUGCAAGUCGAGCGAUCUUCUUCGGAAGAGAGCGGCGGACGGGUGAGUAACGCGUGGGUAACCUGCCCUGUACACACGGAUAACAUACCGAAAGGUAUGCUAAUACGGGAUAACAUACUUUUAUCGCAUGGUAGAAGUAUCAAAGCUCCGGCGGUACAGGAUGGACCCGCGUCUGAUUAGCUAGUUGGUAAGGUAACGGCUUACCAAGGCGACGAUCAGUAGCCGACCUGAGAGGGUGAUCGGCCACAUUGGAACUGAGACACGGUCCAGACUCCUACGGGAGGCAGCAGUGAGGAAUAUUGGACAAUGGAUGGAAAUCUGAUCCAGCCAUGCCGCGUGCAGGAAGGCGGCCCUAUGGGUUGUAAACUGCUUUUGUACGGGAGCAAUAAGGUCUACGAGUAGAUUGAUGAGAGUACUGUACGAAUAAGCAUCGGCUAACUCCGUGCCAGCAGCCGCGGUAAUACGGAGGAUGCGAGCGUUAUCCGGAUUUAUUGGGUUUAAAGGGUGCGUAAGCUGUUAUGUAAGUCAGUGGUAAAAAGGUACAGGCUUAACUUGUAUAUGCCAUUGAAACUGUAUAGCUAGGAUAUGGAUGAAGUGUGCGGAAUGUGUGGUGUAGCGGUGAAAUGCAUAGAUAUCACACAGAACACCCAUAGCGAAGGCAGCACACUAAAGCGAUAUUGACGCUGAGGCACGAAAGUGUGGGGAUCAAACACGGAUUAGAUACCCUGGUAGUCCACACUGUAACGAUGAUAACUAGCUGUGUCGAUAUAAUGACAGUAGCGAAGCGAAAGCGAAUAGUAUCUACCUGGGGAGUACGGCGCAAGGUGAAAACUCCAANNAAAUGAUNNGGGNCGCACAGCGAGANCAUGUGNUUAAUUCCNUGAUACGCNAGGAACCUACCCGGC
RNAcentral lists this ribosomal RNA (950 nucleotides) under uncultured Clostridium sp. RNAcentral's name for it is "bacterial SSU rRNA". It matches the Rfam family "Bacterial small subunit ribosomal RNA", at positions 1 to 978 of the family's 1533-position model. Lineage: Bacteria; Bacillati; Bacillota; Clostridia; Eubacteriales; Clostridiaceae. The record is from RNAcentral.